UCUCCGUUGGUGAACCAGCGGAGGGAUCAUUACCGAGUUUACAACUCCCAAACCCAAUGUGAACGCUACCAAACUGUUGCCUCGGCGGGAUCUCUGCCCCGGGUGCGUCGCAGCCCCGGACCAAGGCGCCCGCCGGAGGACCAACCAAAACUCUUUAUGUAUACCCCCUCGCGGGUUUUUUUACAAUCUGAGCCAUCUCGGCGCCCCUCGUGGGCGUUUCGAAAAUGAAUCAAAACUUUCAACAACGGAUCUCUUGGUUCUG
RNAcentral lists this unclassified non-coding RNA (262 nucleotides) under plant metagenome. RNAcentral describes it as "partial contains small subunit ribosomal RNA, internal transcribed spacer 1, and 5.8S ribosomal RNA". The record is from RNAcentral.